CCUACGGGAGGCAGCAGUGGGGAAUAUUGGACAAUGGGCGAAAGCCUGAUCCAGCAAUGCCGCGUGAGUGAUGAAGGCCUUAGGGUUGUAAAGCUCUUUUACCAGGGAUGAUAAUGACAGUACCUGGAGAAUAAGCUCCGGCUAACUCCGUGCCAGCAGCCGCGGUAAUACGGAGGGAGCUAGCGUUGUUCGGAAUUACUGGGCGUAAAGCGUACGUAGGCGGUUAUUCAAGUCAGAGGUGAAAGCCUGGAGCUCAACUCCAGAACUGCCUUUGAAACUAGAUAGCUAGAAUCUUGGAGAGGUGAGUGGAAUUCCGAGUGUAGAGGUGAAAUUCGUAGAUAUUCGGAAGAACACCAGUGGCGAAGGCGACUCACUGGACAAGUAUUGACGCUGAGGUACGAAAGCGUGGGGAGCAAACAGGAUUAGAUACCCUGGUAGUCCACGCCGUAAACGAUGAUAACUAGCUGUUCGGGCUCUACGAGCUUGAGUGGCGCAGCUAACGCAUUAAGUUAUCCGCCUGGGGAAGUACGGUCGCAAGAUUAAAAACUUAAAGAGUAGUACGACGNGAGAGAGCGACGACGACGACGAGGAGGAGGAG
Molecule: ribosomal RNA, 598 nt
Filed under: uncultured bacterium
Lineage: Bacteria
Description: bacterial SSU rRNA
Rfam family: Bacterial small subunit ribosomal RNA
Source: RNAcentral